UACGUAGGGUGCGAGCGUUAAUCGGAAUUACUGGGCGUAAAGCGUGCGCAGGCGGUUUUGUAAGUCAGAUGUGAAAUCCCCGGGCUUAACCUGGGAAUGGCAUUGGAAACUGGCGAGCUUGAGUGUGGCAGAGGGGGGUGGAAUUCCGCGUGUAGCAGUGAAAUGCGUAGAGAUGCGGAGGAACACCGAUGGCGAAGGCAGCCCCCUGGGCUGACACUGACGCUCAGGCACGAAAGCGUGGGGAGCAAACAGG
Molecule: ribosomal RNA, 253 nt
Filed under: uncultured bacterium
Lineage: Bacteria
Description: partial 16S ribosomal RNA
Rfam family: Bacterial small subunit ribosomal RNA
Source: RNAcentral